GGAUGAACGCUGGCGGCGUGCCUAAUACAUGCAAGUCGAGCGAACAGAGUAUGUGCUUGCUCCUCUGACGUUAGCGGUGGUCGGGUGAGUAACACUGGGAUAACCUACCUAUAUGACUGGGUUAAUGUCGGGAAACCGGAGCUAAUACCGGAUAAGUGUGGUGACCGCAUGGUUCAAUAGUGAAAGAUGGGUUUGUUUGCACUUAUAUGUGGUUCCGCGCCGCAUUAGCUAGUUGGUAAGGUAACGGCUUACCAAGGCAACGAUGCGUAGCCGACCUGAGAGGGUGAUCGGCCACACUGGAACUGAGACACGGUCCAGACUCCUACGGGAGCACGCAGUAGGCACACUUCCGCAAUGGGCGAAAGCCUGACGGAGCAACGCCGCGUGAGAGAUGAAGGAAUUCGGAUCGUAAAACUCUGUUAUUAGGGAAGACAAAAAAUGUAAGUAACUAUGCACGUCUUGACGGUACCUAAUCAGAAAGCCACGGCUAACUACGUG
Molecule: ribosomal RNA, 498 nt
Filed under: uncultured bacterium
Lineage: Bacteria
Description: partial 16S ribosomal RNA
Rfam family: Bacterial small subunit ribosomal RNA
Source: RNAcentral